GACGAACGUCUGGCGGCGUGCUUAACACAUGCAAGUCGAACGAGAGGACAGGGGAGCUUGCUUCCUAUGAAAUCGAGUGGCAAACGGGUGAGUAACGCGUAAACAACCUGCCCUUCGGAUGGGGAUAACAGCCGGAAACGGCUGCUAAUACCGAAUACGAUCUUUUCGUCGCAUGACGGAAAGAAGAAAGGAUGGCCUCUAUACAAAGCUAUCGCCGAAGGAGGGGUUUGCGUCUGAUUAGCUGGUUGGAGGGGUAACGGCCCAACAAGGCGAUGAUCAGUAGCCGGUCUGAGAGGAUGAACGGCCACAUUGGGACUGAGACACGGCCCAGACUCCUACGGGAGGCAGCAGUGGGGAAUCUUCCGCAAUGGACGAAAGUCUGACGGAGCAACGCCGCGUGAGUGAAGAAGGUCUUCGGAUUGUAAAGCUCUGUUAUACGGGACGAAAAAGACGGAUGCCAACAGUAUCCGUCCGUGACGGUACCGUAAGAGAAAGCCACGGCUAACUACGUGCCAGCAGCCGCGGUAAUACGUAGGUGGCAAGCGUUGUCCGGAAUUAUUGGGCGUAAAGGGGCGCGCAGGCGGUUCGGUAAGUCUGUCUUAAAAGUGCGGGGCUUAACCCCGUGAGGGGACGGAAACUGUCGAACUUGAGUGUCGGAGAGGAAAGCGGAAUUCCUAGUGUAGCGGUGAAAUGCGUAGAUAUUAGGAGGAACACCGGUGGCGAAAGCGGCUUUCUGGACGACAACUGACGCUGAGGCGCGAAAGCGUGGGGAGCAAACAGGAUUAGAUACCCCUGGUAGUCCACGCCGUAAACGAUGGAUACUAGGUGUAGGAGGUAUCGACCCCUUCUGUGCCGUAGUUAACGCUAUAAGUAUCCCGCCUGGGGAGUACGGCCGCAAGGUUG
Molecule: ribosomal RNA, 903 nt
Filed under: uncultured Megasphaera sp.
Lineage: Bacteria; Bacillati; Bacillota; Negativicutes; Veillonellales; Veillonellaceae
Description: bacterial SSU rRNA
Rfam family: Bacterial small subunit ribosomal RNA
Source: RNAcentral